AAUCAACUAAAAUUAUAUGCAACUGAUUCGAUCGUUCAAAAAUGGAUGGAGAAAAUAAAAAAAUAUGAGGGAUACAAUGACGAGUGUUCCAUAGCUUUUUCACCACAAUCGUACUUCAGUUCAUAUCCGCAGGGAAAUCCAGCACAAGAGAGCCACCUCGAAAACAUUCAGGAAGGACGUUCGGAAAACGAUGGGCCAUUUGGACCACAAUAUAAUUAAUUUUUCUGUAUUAUUAUUUUUCUUAUUGUGUAAAAUAAAAACAAGCGU
Long non-coding RNA from Metopolophium dirhodum (rose-grain aphid), 267 nucleotides. RefSeq lists it as uncharacterized. Lineage: Eukaryota; Metazoa; Arthropoda; Insecta; Hemiptera; Aphididae. The record is from RefSeq and is a predicted model, not a curated record. The transcript is spliced from 3 exons.